RNAcentral lists this ribosomal RNA (497 nucleotides) under uncultured bacterium. RNAcentral describes it as "partial 16S ribosomal RNA". It matches the Rfam family "Bacterial small subunit ribosomal RNA", at positions 28 to 507 of the family's 1533-position model. The record is from RNAcentral.
GAUGAACGCUGGCGGCGUGCCUAAUACAUGCAAGUCUAGCGAACAGACGAGGAGCUUGCUCCUCUGACGUUAGCGGCGGACGGGUGAGUAACACGUGGAUAACCUAUCUAUAAGACUGGGAUAACUUCGGGAAACCGGAGCUAAUACCGGAUAAUAUAUUGAACCGCAUGGUUCAAUAGUGAAAGACGGUUUUGCUGUCACUUAUAGAUGGAUCCGCGCCGCAUUAGCUAGUUGGUAAGGUAACGGCUUACCAAGGCAACGAUGCGUAGCCGACCUGAGAGGGUGAUCGGCCACACUGGAACUGAGACACGGUCCAGACUCCUACGGGAGGCAGCAGUAGGGAAUCUUCCGCAAUGGGCGAAAGCUUGACGGAGCAACGCCGCGUGAGUGAUGAAGGUCUUCGGAUCGUAAAACUCUGUUAUUAGGGAAGAACAAAUGUGUAAGUAACUAUGCACGUCUUGACGGUACCUAAUCAGAAAGCCACGGCUAACUACGUG